GAGGGUAUAAGUUCAGUGGUAGAGUGCGUGCUUAGCAUGCACGAGGUCCUGGGUUCAAUCCCAAGUAUCUUCA
RNAcentral lists this transfer RNA (73 nucleotides) under Camelus bactrianus (Bactrian camel). It matches the Rfam family "tRNA". From Rfam's summary of the family: Transfer RNA (tRNA) molecules are approximately 80 nucleotides in length. RNAcentral also lists the same sequence under 2 other names. The record is from Rfam by way of RNAcentral. Lineage: Eukaryota; Metazoa; Chordata; Mammalia; Artiodactyla; Camelidae.